AACGAACGCUGGCGGCAGGCUUAACACAUGCAAGUCGAACGCCCCGCAAGGGGAGUGGCAGACGGGUGAGUAACGCGUGGGAAUCUACCCAUCUCUGCGGAAUAGCUCCGGGAAACUGGAAUUAAUACCGCAUACGCCCUACGGGGGAAAGAUUUAUCGGGGAUGGAUGAGCCCGCGUUGGAUUAGGUAGUUGGUGGGGUAAAGGCCUACCAAGGCGACGAUCCAUAGCUGGUCUGAGAGGAUGAUCAGCCACAUUGGGACUGCGACACGGCCCAAACUCCUACGGGGGGCAGCAGUGGAGAAUAUUGGACAAUGGGCGCAAGCCUGAUCCAGCCAUGCCGCGUGAGUGAUGAAGGCCUUAGGGUUGUAAAGCUCUUUCACCGGUGAAGAUAAUGACGGUAACCGGAGAAGAAGCCCCGGCUAACUUCGUGCCAGCCGCCGCUGUAA
Molecule: ribosomal RNA, 447 nt
Filed under: uncultured bacterium
Lineage: Bacteria
Description: partial 16S ribosomal RNA
Rfam family: Bacterial small subunit ribosomal RNA
Source: RNAcentral